Long non-coding RNA from Bufo bufo (common toad), 1767 nucleotides. RefSeq lists it as uncharacterized. Lineage: Eukaryota; Metazoa; Chordata; Amphibia; Anura; Bufonidae. The transcript is spliced from 2 exons. The record is from RefSeq and is a predicted model, not a curated record.
GCUGGAGGCUCCAAUCCUGGGUUUGGCUCGUAAUCAAUGAUGGAAAUCACUGACAUGUGAAUGAGGCAUAAUAGAUGCAGAUCCUGGAUGAAGGACUCUCUUCCAUUAACUCAGAAUUCCCUAAUGGGAAAUUGUGAAUUCUAAAAUCUAUCCAUAUCAGAAAUCUAUUGAUAUGCGCCAUUAUUUCACUACGUAGUGUCGCCUAUUACAUUUCAUUAGAAAAAUGUUGAUUUUAUUUCUUGUAUACUAUUGCAUGAUGUGGAAACCCUGGGGAGUAUGCUGCGCCAGAAAUACCCAUGGCACGGGCGUAAAAUAAAAAAUCUUUUUACAAGCAGCUAGCAACUUUAGAUACUGACUUUACACGCUUUAUACUUUUUACAUAUAGUCUUUUUUUUUUUUUUGCGUAGAAUAUAUUUAGUAUGUUUACCUUUUCUUAGGCAUUCAAAGUCUGGGAUGAAAUUUAGUGUUUUGUUUGUUUUUUUUGCAGUAUAUUAUACAAUAUUUCAGGUCCAUAUUGCUUUGUAAAUCAGGUUAGUUGCUUAUAUUUUUUCAUUCUAGGGUAAGAUCUGCAUGGUUCUUUCUCUACUGAUGCUGUAGUGUUUUUUGUCGGAAUGUGCCGUUUGGGAAGGAAACUUAAUGAGAGAUCUGUGUAUGCAUUUUAAAGACAAAUUUUGUUUGAUCAUCUCCAAAAUUCCACAUGCUGUUUUUAUUAAAAAAAAAUUGGGGAAAAAACUUGAACAGAAACGUUGAAAACUGCUGUUUUGUCAUUCUCAUUCUACCCAACUAAUUGGAACCCUCAAACGGCUCUAAAGAAUUUAUGCAUUUCUCAUGUUAUAUCCAAAAAAGAUGAUGCUUUUUUGCGGUUGCAACAUACUCUAUAUAGAACCUACUGGAACCUCUUGUGAAUGGUCUGUGAGUUUCUUACCAUUAAUUACAAAUGGGUGUGCAUACCAGGGGUUAAUACCUUACUAAACACCUCGCUUAGAAAUCCAUAUGCUGAAUGGAGCAUUUCUGACAGCUAAUGACUAACUUGUAUCCCAUGCGAAUGCAGCUUUAGAAAAAAAUAUUUUUGAAAAAAGACUGUACUUAUAAAAACUUAAAAAUGUGAUGUAAUGUUUACAAAAAAAUAUGCAAUGUGUUGUUUAAAAUCCCAUAGGGGUUAUGUUAGUGAUGCCUGUGUACAAUAUACACUCACUGUAACCCCUCCUGACAUGUCUGUUUUAGCGACUAAUGGCUUGCCCCUUGUAAUAACAAUUCUGGAGCAUCUAUUCCUAUGUCUCUAUGUUGUGCCAUUCCUAGAGGUUAUAACGGACUCACUAGCAGUUUGCAGAAAAGGUCAAGCUGGGUGUUACCAGUUGGGGGAGGUCUGACACUAUCCAAUCUGUGCUGCUAGUGUCAGGGACUGAGCAGUGGACACAACCCAAAACUGGUAACACCUUCAUUGCAAACUGCGAGCAAUUAAUUCUGAAUUUAUAAUAGGAAUAAUAAAGGAAUGGCGUAACAUACAGUCAUACCAAUAGAUGCUUCGGAAUUGUUAUUACAUGAGGGAUGCAAGUAGUUACUAAAACGGACAUGUCGGUAGAGGGGGACAGGUCCUCUUUAAAGCGGAAGCAAAAAAAAAAGGCUACACUGUUAUAAAUGGUUGAAGAGAAGCUUGAUUGAGUGAAUGUGCAAAUGCCCUUUUUAUGUGCCAAAAUGCAUGUGGUAUGAAUUUUUAAUUAAUUGUUAAAUGUUUUAUCAAAUAAACAGUCAACCCUGUUUCAUACA